This 248-nucleotide ribosomal RNA is filed under the name uncultured Blautia sp. Its description in RNAcentral is "partial 16S ribosomal RNA". It matches the Rfam family "Bacterial small subunit ribosomal RNA", at positions 524 to 771 of the family's 1533-position model. The record is from RNAcentral. Lineage: Bacteria; Bacillati; Bacillota; Clostridia; Lachnospirales; Lachnospiraceae.
UACGUAGGGGGCAAGCGUUAUCCGGAUUUACUGGGUGUAAAGGGAGCGUAGACGGAAGAGCAAGUCUGAUGUGAAAGGCAGGGGCCCAACCCCUGGACUGCAUUGGAAACUGCCCAUCUUGAGUGCCGGAGGGGUAAGCGGAAUUCCUAGUGUAGCGGUGAAAUGCGUAGAUAUUAGGAGGAACACCAGUGGCGAAGGCGGCUUACUGGACGGUAACUGACGUUGAGGCUCGAAAGCGUGGGGAGCAA